This 308-nucleotide ribosomal RNA is filed under the name uncultured bacterium. RNAcentral describes it as "bacterial SSU rRNA". It matches the Rfam family "Bacterial small subunit ribosomal RNA", at positions 28 to 334 of the family's 1533-position model. The record is from RNAcentral.
GACGAACGCUGGCGGCGUGCUUAACACAUGCAAGUCGAACGAUGACGGUGGUGCUUGCACCGCCUGAUUAGUGGCGAACGGGUGAGUAACACGUGAGUAACCUGCCCCCCACUUCGGGAUAACCUCGGGAAAUCGUGGCUAAUACCGGAUAUGAGCACUCAUCGCAUGGUGGGUGUUGGAAAGAUUUAUCGGUGGGGGAUGGACUCGCGGCCUAUCAGUUUGUUGGUGAGGUGAUGGCUCACCAAGACGAUGACGGGUAGCCGGCCUGAGAGGGCGACCGGCCACACUGGGACUGAGACACGGCCCAG